AACGAACGCUGGCGGCAUGCCUAACACAUGCAAGUCGAACGAGACCUUCGGGUCUAGUGGCGCACGGGUGCGUAACGCGUGGGAACCUGCCCUUAGGUUCGGAAUAACUCCCCGAAAGGGGUACUAAUACCGGAUAAUGUCUUCGGACCAAAGAUUUAUCGCCUUUGGAUGGGCCCGCGUUGGAUUGGCUAGUUGGUAGGGUAAAAGCCUACCAAGGCGACGAUCCAUAGCUGGUCUGAGAGGAUGAUCAGCCACACUGGGACUGAGACACGGCCCAGACUCCUACGGGAGGCAGCAGUGGGGAAUAUUGGACAAUGGGCGAAAGCCUGAUCCAGCAAUGCCGCGUGAGUGAUGAAGGCCUUAGGGUUGUAAAGCUCUUUUACCCGGGAUGAUAAUGACAGUACCGGGAGAAUAAGCUCCGGCUAACUCCGUG
Molecule: ribosomal RNA, 433 nt
Filed under: uncultured bacterium
Lineage: Bacteria
Description: partial 16S ribosomal RNA
Rfam family: Bacterial small subunit ribosomal RNA
Source: RNAcentral